AUGAUGAGGCUACACUGGCACCUCAGCUUCGCCUCAGUGUGCUUGUAUGUGUGCGGUGAUAUAUUUCAGCCGGAUCACCGCAACGAAAAGUGGAACCAUUGUGAAGGACACUUUUACAAGGGAUGGACCCAUCUUCGACUGCUUCUUAAAAAAGCAUCUGUGGACUUCUGUUGUAAAUGCCAUGAAGAGAAAUGCAUUUCCAUUGCAAUUUUUCCAACUUUAAGACAUGUGCCAGUUUUUUGGGCAUAUAAAAUAAGCCAUAAAGGGGACCCUGUUUUGUCAGAGCACAAUCUGUUGAAGAAUAUUACAACUUGGUAUAUAUCACCAUCGGUUGUUGAGGAUCUGCUCAGAGAAAAGUUGCAUUCACUCCCAUCUCAAGUGACCUCAAGACCCUCCCUAUCAAUAACACAUAUUUUAAGUGGAGUGUUUCCUCUCAAUGCGAAAUACAUUCACAAAGAGGGAAACUGGCACAACUCAGGCUACAUUCACUGGAUCACAUAUCACCACACAAAUGUGAAGGGGCUUAGUUUUGAAGGAGCACUUGUCCAAAAAAGUCAGGAGAAAUGUAAGUGGAAAUGGCUGAUGGUGAAGCAACUGGUUGGGAUUCUUUCUGAAGUCUUUUCGGCCAAACCCAUGCAAACCUUCUUCAAUCAUCAAAACAUGAAGUGCGCAGGAUCAAUCAUAUGCCAUGCACUUGGAUUUACAGAGGACUUCAUAAAGAGGAAAUAAAGAGUACAGUUUUAAAACCAAAGGUAAGCUAUGCUGGUUACAAGCCAUUCAAACAUUAAAAAUAGCAAUUUAGCAUAAUGUAGCAUUUAUUUGAAUUAUUCU
Long non-coding RNA from Cyprinus carpio (common carp), 831 nucleotides. The record is from Ensembl. Lineage: Eukaryota; Metazoa; Chordata; Actinopteri; Cypriniformes; Cyprinidae.